AGGUGGGUUGACAGAUCGGCUAUGUACUCGCCUGCAGAGCGAGUUAGAAGAGUUCAACUCUCUUACCCACCUA
RNAcentral lists this transfer RNA (73 nucleotides) under uncultured archaeon. RNAcentral's name for it is "tRNA-Cys(gca)". It matches the Rfam family "tRNA". Rfam says of the family: Transfer RNA (tRNA) molecules are approximately 80 nucleotides in length. Their secondary structure includes four short double-helical elements and three loops (D, anti-codon, and T loops). The record is from RNAcentral.